Molecule: long non-coding RNA, 1013 nt
Organism: Panicum virgatum (switchgrass)
Lineage: Eukaryota; Viridiplantae; Streptophyta; Magnoliopsida; Poales; Poaceae
Exons: 2
Source: RefSeq, a predicted model, not a curated record
CCCCCCCCCCCCCCCCCCCCCCCCGCGCGGCGGUAUAGGGAUCGGCGGCGCAUAUUAGGCCCAGAGGUCUUGGCGUUCAGAGUGCGCUUGGCGGCGGCGCCAGUGCAGAAAGAAUUCAGCUUCGCCGGGUGGCUGCAAUCAGCUGAGUUCAUCAAGGUGGAUAGCAGCAGCUCGUCUUCUGGCUCUGACAAAGAUAUGAGCUGACUUGAAGAAGAAAUUAAAGAGGGCACGAGUCUGUGCAAUCAGCAGCUGUCUAGUGAUUGCAGAUUCAGACACUGACACAUCUGACAUCUCUUGAUUAUUAAUCUGCUCUUUGAUCAACUAAAAACAGAGUAAUGUGGUAUAUCAACCUCUCUUUUUUUCUCCGCUUCUUGUUUUCUCAGUAGGCAACAAUACAUUUUAGUAUAUAGCAUUUUACUUCAUUAGGAAAUAAAAAUGAAUAGGAACUUUAGAAAUAAAUAUGGUUCUGCAUUAUCCAAAAAUAUAAUUCAUUAGGCAUUAAUAUGGUUCUAAUUAGGCAAUAAUAUGGUUCUUAACCAGGCAAAAUAGUUUACUUCAUUGGGCAAUGUUUAAUUUAGAAUUUAAGAAUUCAUUUUCAUUGGUUGUCUAAAGUGCAAGGUAAUAUACAACUAUCAGCACUGGUAUUUAACAUAGAACCUAGUUCCUUAGCCUGACCACAUGGGAAUUCAUUUUCAUUGGUUGUCUAAAGUGCAAGGUAAUAGAACCUAGUGCGCAGUCAUCUUGAGAGUAUAUAUUCAAAAUUCAUUAGGCUAUAAUAUGUACUAAUUUAGGCAGUUAUGUGGUUUUUAAUUAGGCAAUAAUAUGGCACUGAAAAAGUAAUAUAGUUUACUUCAAUAGGUAAUGUUAUUGGACAUGUAAUUUUCAGUAUUUUGUAUAGAGAUUGCAGCAUUCCCACUAGAUCUAAAAGCAAAAACUAUUGUUCAGUUUUUGAAGCAUGAUCUGAACUAUUAUCACAAAGAAAUAGGAGCAUUCCUACUAGAUCCCAUAUGUUG